GGGAAUUGAAGAGAGGGCGCCACCACGAGCCGUUUCCUUAAUUGUCCUUUCAUCACGUCGGGGAGGCGAUGAUAACUUAUAAUGCGAGUGGGACCCCCGGACCCCCCCGACUCCCGGAAAGACCCUGCGUUUGUGUUUUGUCUACAGCCGCUCCAACCUCUCCUUGUUUGUGUGCUCGUGCUACCACGUGUUUCGACUGAGUUGCAGGUCACGCCACUUCCUGCGAAAACGGCUUGUCGUGACCCCCCGUGACCCCGAUGACUCCCAACACCAAACUGCGUCAACAAGACUUCAAGAGAGCGUCUAAUGGCUGAGCCCAGUCUGCAGCAUGCGUGAGCGCUGCACGCUGCC
Molecule: long non-coding RNA, 351 nt
Organism: Gasterosteus aculeatus aculeatus (three-spined stickleback)
Lineage: Eukaryota; Metazoa; Chordata; Actinopteri; Perciformes; Gasterosteidae
Source: Ensembl